Molecule: small nuclear RNA, 74 nt
Filed under: Erinaceus europaeus (western European hedgehog)
Lineage: Eukaryota; Metazoa; Chordata; Mammalia; Eulipotyphla; Erinaceidae
Description: U4 spliceosomal RNA
Rfam family: U4 spliceosomal RNA
About the family: U4 small nuclear RNA (U4 snRNA) is a component of the major U2-dependent spliceosome. The structure of U4 snRNA from yeast and human has been reported. U4 snRNA presents a k-turn RNA motif in the 5p-SL related to recognition of Snu13 protein.
Source: Rfam by way of RNAcentral
AGCUUUGUGCAGUGGCAAUAUCGUAGCCAGUGAGAUGUGUCUGAGGCGCAAUUAUUGCUAAUUGAAAAUACUUA